This 791-nucleotide ribosomal RNA is filed under the name uncultured bacterium. RNAcentral's name for it is "bacterial SSU rRNA". It matches the Rfam family "Bacterial small subunit ribosomal RNA", at positions 8 to 796 of the family's 1533-position model. The record is from RNAcentral.
AGAGUUUGAUCAUGGCUCAGGAUGAACGCUAGCGGCAGGCCUAACACAUGCAAGUCGAGGGGCAGCGAGUGUAGCAAUACAUGUCGGCGACCGGCGCACGGGUGAGUAACGCGUAUGCAACCUACCUUUAACUGGGGAAUAGCUCGAAGAAAUUCGGAUUAAUACCCCAUAACAUUACACAAGGGCAUCUUUGUGUAAUUAAAGCUCCGGCGGUUAUUGAUGGGCAUGCGUGCCAUUAGCUAGUUGGUAAGGUAAAGGCUUACCAAGGCUACGAUGGCUCGGGGGUCUGAGAGGAUGAUCCCCCACACUGGAACUGAGACACGGUCCAGACUCCUACGGGAGGCAGCAGUGAGGAAUAUUGGUCAAUGGGGGCAACCCUGAACCAGCCAUGCCGCGUGAAGGAUGAAGGCCUUAUGGGUUGUAAACUUCUUUUGUAUGAGGCGAACUGUUUCUAUGCGUAGAGACUUGACAGUACCAUACGAAUAAGCAUCGGCUAACUCCGUGCCAGCAGCCGCGGUAAUACGGAGGAUGCAAGCGUUAUCCGGAUUCACUGGGUUUAAAGGGUGAGUAGGCGGACUGAUAAGUCAGUGGUGAAAGACUGUAGCUUAACUAUAGAAAUGCCAUUGAUACUGUCAGCCUUGAGUACAGUUGAGGCAGGCGGAAUGUGCAGUAGCGGUGAAAUGCUUAGAUAUUGCACAGAACACCAAUUGCGAAGGCAGCUUGCUAAGCUGUUACUGACGCUGAGUCACGAAAGCGUGGGGAUCAAACAGGAUUAGAUACCCUAGUAGUCC